UCCCGGGUGGCUCAGUCAUUUAAGGGUCUGACUUCAGAUCAGGUCAUGAUCUCAUGGUGUGUGGGUUCGAUUCCCACUUUGGGUU
RNAcentral lists this transfer RNA (85 nucleotides) under Felis catus (domestic cat). It matches the Rfam family "tRNA". Rfam says of the family: Transfer RNA (tRNA) molecules are approximately 80 nucleotides in length. Their secondary structure includes four short double-helical elements and three loops (D, anti-codon, and T loops). Lineage: Eukaryota; Metazoa; Chordata; Mammalia; Carnivora; Felidae. The record is from Rfam by way of RNAcentral.